Molecule: long non-coding RNA, 145 nt
Organism: Sipha flava (yellow sugarcane aphid)
Lineage: Eukaryota; Metazoa; Arthropoda; Insecta; Hemiptera; Aphididae
Exons: 2
Source: RefSeq, a predicted model, not a curated record
UUAUAUCAUGUGAUCAUCUAAAGAAAUAAAAAGAACCAUUUGGAGGAAAUCGUGAACAAUAAAUUAUAGCUUGGACAACUGGACAAAGUUUCCUAAAAACUCCUGAGAAAGGAAAACAAUGCAAACGUGAUAAGUUUAUUUGGAA